This 87-nucleotide transfer RNA is filed under the name SAR86 cluster bacterium. Its description in RNAcentral is "tRNA-Leu". It matches the Rfam family "tRNA". Rfam says of the family: Transfer RNA (tRNA) molecules are approximately 80 nucleotides in length. Their secondary structure includes four short double-helical elements and three loops (D, anti-codon, and T loops). Further hydrogen bonds mediate the characteristic L-shaped molecular structure. tRNAs have two regions of fundamental functional importance: the anti-codon, which is responsible for specific mRNA codon recognition, and the 3' end, to which the tRNAs corresponding amino acid is attached (by aminoacyl-tRNA synthetases). tRNAs cope with the degeneracy of the genetic code in two manners: having more than one tRNA (with a specific anti-codon) for a particular amino acid; and 'wobble' base-pairing, i.e. permitting non-standard base-pairing at the 3rd anti-codon position. The record is from RNAcentral. Lineage: Bacteria; Pseudomonadati; Pseudomonadota; Gammaproteobacteria.
GCCGGGAUGGUGAAAUUGGUAGACACGCUGGAUUCAAAAUCCAGUUCUAGCGAUAGAGUGCGGGUUCAAGUCCCGCUCCCGGUACCA